This is a long non-coding RNA of Bos taurus (domestic cattle), 1300 nucleotides long. Lineage: Eukaryota; Metazoa; Chordata; Mammalia; Artiodactyla; Bovidae. The record is from Ensembl.
GGACAUAGAGAAUGAAUGGUUACCUUGGAAGAAAUCAUCUCUAGAUAGUCAUGGGCUACAUGACUUUGCAGUAAACAUAAAUCUCCAGAAUCCCAAAAAGUCUUCUUUUCUAUUCAAAGACACCCGGAGACGCCCUCACAGACACCCGGGAACACCCUCACACACCCAGGAACACACAGACACCCGGGAACGCCCUCACGGACACCCGAAAGUAAUGUUUAACCAGCUUAUAUGAGGAAACAGCAACCCACUCGUGUUCUUGCCUGGAGAAUCCCAAGGAUAGAGGAGCCUGGCGGGCUACAGUCCACGGGGUCGAGAGAGUCGGACACGACUGAGUUACUAAACCAUGAACAUCUCGGCGCGCAGUCAAGCUGCUAAGUUAAUUAACCAUCACAGGGAAAAAUUAUUUCACUGAAGAAGUAACAGGACAAAAUAGGGCGGCCAACCAAAGACCCCAAGAAGCCAAGAAGGCGCUUCGGAGAUGCGGCGUCUGUCUGUGGCUCAGAGACUUCCCUGGUGGUCCAGUGGUUAAGAAUCCACCUGCCAGUGCAGAGGACACAGAUUCGAUCCUUGGUCCAGGAAGAUUCCACGUGCCUCAGGGCAAGCCUGAGCGCCGCAACAACUGAAGUCUGUGUGUCCUAGAAUCCAUCCUCUACAACCUGUGCACCACAGCUAGAGAGUAGCUCCCACUCGUGACAACGAGAGAAAGCCCACAUGCUGCAAUGAAGACCCAGUACAGCCAAAAAUAAAAUAAAUAAAUACAUAAAUAAAAGGACCACAAUGUUACAAUAAGAAAGAAAGCUACUUUUUAUUAAAUUAUAGCUGAUUUACAGUAUUGUGUGUGUUAGUUUUGGGUGUACAAAGUGAUUUGGUCAUACAUAUGUAUAUGUUGUUUUUCCUGAUUCUUUCUCGUUAUACUUUACUACAAGAAGUUGAAUGUAGUCCUCUGUUCUAUACAGUAAAACUUUGUUGUUUAUCUCAGAAAGUUACUUUAGUUUCUGAGUUUGGGUGGUGGUGGUGGUGGUGUGAGGACUUUUUGUUUGUUAAGUUUUUGUGUUUAAUUGUGACAACAGAAAAUGGUUGUGAGGAUUUGGGGAAGAAAUACAGAAUAUUCCUGAGGCCAGUUGCUUUAUAAAACCGACCACACAAAAUCUGUUGAUGAAGAAAAAAAGACAUUCUGAUUCCUAUCUGACCGUUUUUAGAUUGGGGCAUGGGGACGAUUAGGGACAGUGCAGGAAAUAACACGGUGUCCACAGAGGAGUGUCCCCUGCCCGUGACCUACAGAUUGCUGCAAACACUC